Molecule: long non-coding RNA, 518 nt
Organism: Pseudophryne corroboree (corroboree frog)
Lineage: Eukaryota; Metazoa; Chordata; Amphibia; Anura; Myobatrachidae
Exons: 4
Source: RefSeq, a predicted model, not a curated record
GAUCCCAUAUUCCAGACCAGUGCAGUUGCGAAGAAACUGAAACCUUUCUCUGAAGUUUCGACAAAAAGGUUCCUGGUGGUCCAGUGGUGACUUACCUAGUAUGGCGGCUCUGGCAGCUCCAGCAGUGUCUUCAGGCUCUAGCAGUGACGUCGUAAUGACUUGCUGGAAUUAUAGUUGGACAACAUGCCAGUAACUAUCAACAAAACGAUGAGCAAGAUAAUCGCCAACAUGAAAAAAGAAAAUAAAACCAUCAAAGAGAUCCAUGCAUGGCUCAAGGAAAGUGGCAUUAUAGUCACUUUAGAAACAGUGCGCUAUCAUGCAUUCGAGAGAACAACGCCCAGAUUUGUAUUUCCUACAAAAUGCACAUGGAGAGUGCAACAAAUUGUGGAGGAACUAACUCGUGAGGAUGAUGAGCGUACUGCUCUGCAAAUAAAACGAAUUCUCCAUUCCAAGUAUGACCUGGACAUAUCGGCCACCAGCAUCAGAAGGAUGCGACGGAAAAUGGGAUGGACCUUUGG